Molecule: ribosomal RNA, 465 nt
Filed under: uncultured bacterium
Lineage: Bacteria
Description: partial 16S ribosomal RNA
Rfam family: Bacterial small subunit ribosomal RNA
Source: RNAcentral
CCUACGGGAGACAGCAGUAGGGAAUCUUCCACAAUGGGCGAAAGCCUGAUGGAGCAACGCCGCGUGGGUGAAGAAGGUCUUCGGAUCGUAAAACCCUGUUGUUAGAGAAGAAAGUGCGUGAGAGUAACUGUUCACGUCUCGACGGUAUCUAACCAGAAAGCCACGGCUAACUACGUGCCAGCAACCGCGGUAAUACGUAGGUGGCAAGCGUUAUCCGGAUUUAUUGGACGUAAAGGGAACGCAGGCGGUCUUUUAAGUCUGAUGUGAAAGCCUUCGGCUUAACCGGAGUAGUGCAUUGGAAACUGGGAGACUUGAGUGCAGAAGAGGAGAGUGGAACUCCAUGUGUAGCGGUGAAAUGCGUAGAUAUAUGGAAGAACACCAGUGGCGAAAUCGGCUCUCUGGGCUGUAACUGACGCUGAGGUUCGAAAGCGUGGGUAGCAAACAGGAUUAGAUACCCCUGUAGUC